GACGAACGCUGGCGGCGUGCUUAACACAUGCAAGUCGAACGGAAAGGCCCUGCUUUUGUGGGGUGCUCGAGUGGCGAACGGGUGAGUAACACGUGAGUAACCUGCCCUUGACUUUGGGAUAACUUCAGGAAACUGGGGCUAAUACCGGAUAGGAGCUCCUGCUGCAUGGUGGGGGUUGGAAAGUUUCGGCGGUUGGGGAUGGACUCGCGGCUUAUCAGCUUGUUGGUGGGGUAGUGGCUUACCAAGGCUUUGACGGGUAGCCGGCCUGAGAGGGUGACCGGCCACAUUGGGACUGAGAUACGGCCCAGACUCCUACGGGAGGCAGCAGUGGGGAAUAUUGCACAAUGGGCGGAGGCCUGAUGCAGCAACGCCGCGUGCGGGAUGACGGCCUUCGGGUUGUAAACCGCUUUCGCCCGUGACGAAGCGUGAGUGACGGUAAUGGGUAAAGAAGCACCGGCUAACUACGUG
Molecule: ribosomal RNA, 468 nt
Filed under: uncultured bacterium
Lineage: Bacteria
Description: partial 16S ribosomal RNA
Rfam family: Bacterial small subunit ribosomal RNA
Source: RNAcentral